This is a non-coding RNA of Pimephales promelas (fathead minnow), 2193 nucleotides long. The record is from RefSeq and is a predicted model, not a curated record. NCBI's taxonomy places the organism in Eukaryota, Metazoa, Chordata, Actinopteri, Cypriniformes, Leuciscidae.
GAGAGAGAGCGUGCGCUUCUCUUACAGCGAAACACAAGAUUUCCUCCGGACCUUCAUCUGAGUGUCUCGGUUUAAUAUCAGGACGUCGUUCGCGAGUGUGAAGAAGAUGUUCGCUGGAUGAGGUGUUGGUGUGUGUUUGUGGCACGUGGACUCGACAGCCUCAUUGAAGGGGGAGAACCGCAUGAGUUUAUCUGGAUUGUGUGGAUGUGGAUUCCUUCAGUCUGCCGGGAUGCUAAAGCCUCAGACACGAGCUCUGGGAACGGGAACAUGGAUCCUAUAUCUCUGGGAUUCUGGACUUCUGGAAUAACUUCACAUGUGGAAUAAUAAACUUAAAAGGAUAAAGGACAGAAGGAAGAGGAGAAGCACAAACUCCUCAGGAGAAACUGUUAGCGUGAGAUGAAGUGGGUCCAGCCUGACUCGCAGAGAGGAAAAGAAAGGUCUUGUCACCCGAGCUGACGGAUGGAGGCCCGAUGUCUUUGCUCGGUCCCUCUUCACACACUCAAUGGCUGCUCUGUUUCAGCGUAACGACGAGCCGGUUGGAUAUAAUCUUGAGCGCUGGACUCAGGAGAUCGGGAGGGAUAGGGAAACGCUACGGUAGGCUUUGCCGGGAAGGAUCAUCUUUCUCCAGAAGUAGGAAACGAGCGUCAGAGGGUUCCUGCUGCCAGUCGGCUUUCUCCUCCUGUUACGACACGAGACCAAAUGCAAACCAUGUGUCCUCGCACCCGGUUAGCUGCUUUUGCCCACCCCUAGCAUUAGCAGUCUGAGCGGAUCCAUUUCACCAGCCAAACGAGCCUCUCCGUGGGACUCCUGGCCUAAUAGGCUGGAUCUGUCCCAUGUCCGGUCCCCGAAGAUGGCGGCUAUCCUCUGUUCGAGGGUUCAAGCUGGAGCUCAUGUUUAGGGUACUAUCUACAGUGGAUGAGUGACGGGGACAGAGGGGACUCUGGGAUUGGACAUAUAUGUGGAGAUAUGUGGAUGUAAGGCAUUGCUCUGGGUUGUGUGUGACAGACGAGGCCUGGACUGCUCUCUACUUUCUCAUGUUCCCUUCGGAUGGGUGGAUGGCUAACCUGAGGAAAACGGCAGUCAUAUUUCAUCUGUCAAUCAGCACCCAAACAGACAUCAGACUGAAAACCUUAAGAGAUACAUUAAAAAUAAUCCCAAGUGGCCAUAAAUUCCCCUAUUUGUCUCUCAGACAGAAUGUUUUCAUUUCAAACUUAAUGGACUCGAUUUCAGGAUGCUGUGAUAUUUAUUUGUGAUAUUAUUGUGGGAAAUGUAAAGGAUUUGCCUGUAACGGAGCUAGUAGUUGCUGCGCAAGUAAACCUCACUCCUCUGAUCUCAAGAGGCUGCAGUCUUCUCGUGCCGGAGACCCGGGUUCGAGGCCCGCUCGGAGCGGGUCGAGUAGGACCCGGGUGGAGGGUUUACACUCCUCAGAGUUUAAAGUGUGGUGAUGCAAUGCUGCAUAGGAUAUCGGCAUCAACAUACUCACCAAAUCGUCUCAUUCUCCUCUAUCCGUUAUGUCCUUCAAGUCACCCCCACAACAACAUCGACAACAGAAGAGAAGGCAUUCCUUUUCAAAACGGGGUGUUCAUUUCAUACUCUGGGAACAAUGGUAGCUCAUUUAAUGUGUAAAUUGAUGUAUUUGUCCAUUUGACGUACCAGCACUUUCCAGAAGUUUAUACUUUUAACGUAACAAUCUGUUUGGUUGAAAGAUCCUAAAUGAAAUUGAUUGUAGCUCUACCUGAGGAAUCGUUCACAGACAGCAUACACAGUUGGUUAACUAAUAUAGAUAUUCAUCACUGGCAAACAAAAUGAUGCAUUUGCAGAUCUGCUUUCAUUUGACAGUAGGUCCACUUCAUCCAAUGAGGAAACUGAACCAAUAAAUUAGGCAUUUCUUAACUUGUAUUGCAUUCAAAUGAAGUAAUGAGAGGAACGUUGCCCAGUGUAAUGAAGUACAAGUAUAUUUAUUUUGUUAGAAAUGGACUCAAGCCCCUGGUUCUAAGCUACAGUUAUGUAUAUAUAUAUAUUGUUGGUGUUUUGUGUUUUUCUUAUGUUUCAAAAAUGAAAGUCUUAUCAUUAAGGGCUUUCAAGGAAAAUCAGUUAUGACUGUCUUUGAACAUUGUAUAUGUAUGCCCGGUUGUACUGUAAAAUUCAUACUGUGGAAAAAAAAUAACAAUAAAGUAUAAAUGAAAAAAGAAA